AUACUCUGGUUUCUCUUCAAAACGAAUAAAUCUUUCACCUUUUCCUAAAGAUUUCCGUGGAGAGGGACAGUUAUGAGUUGGUAACCAAAUUUUUUGAGGUCUUGCUUAGGCAAGGCU
RNAcentral lists this small nuclear RNA (117 nucleotides) under Propithecus coquereli (Coquerel's sifaka). RNAcentral describes it as "U5 spliceosomal RNA (ENSPCOG00000009444.1)". It matches the Rfam family "U5 spliceosomal RNA". Rfam says of the family: U5 RNA is a component of both types of known spliceosome. The precise function of this molecule is unknown, though it is known that the 5' loop is required for splice site selection and p220 binding, and that both the 3' stem-loop and the Sm site are important for Sm protein binding and cap methylation. The record is from Rfam by way of RNAcentral. Lineage: Eukaryota; Metazoa; Chordata; Mammalia; Primates; Indriidae.